CCAAGCACCUCACAUGUGGCCAGCACUCCAAACUCACGGACGCAGCCCACUCUCGCGGAGACUCACCGCACGUGGCCAGAAAUACCAAAAUAGGACGCACCUCUGCACUUAUAAAAAGAGCUCUUCAGUGGACAGACAAUUCCAAUUCUAAUUCGGCAAUUUCGCAGUCCGGCGCAAGGACCUGAUUUGUAACCCAAAGAACACCUCAUCGCAGAUCUGAAAAAAAAAAAAGAGUGAAGAUCACUUUUGCACAGGAGCACCUUCUGCAACACAUUCGGCCGCCGAACAUCAUCCUCAUUCGGCCGCCGAACAUCUCACCAAGGCACAGUCACCAUCGCAUAUCUGAAUCAUGGAUGAGGUUCAAGCAUCCCAGCCACCAAGGCCAUGUAGGAUCUGUGGAUAUGUGGGACACCAACUGAUCAAUGUUCUACACUUUAUCAGUAUGACCAACCAGUGCAUGCGUUUGAAAUAUUCAAUAGUCAGGCUAGACAUGCAUAUGGAGGAUUCUAUGAACAGCCAAGACAUGAUCAAUACUAUAACACAUACAAUCCAAGUUGGGGAGACUAUCCAAACUUCAGUUAUGCAGAGGCUAACAACUACCAGAAUUAUCAAGGAUAUCAAGUCCAACUAGCACCUCCAAAUUCCACCCAGCACCUUGAAAAGAUGAUGGAGUCCAUGGGAAGAGAGCCAGAAAGAGCCAGAACUGAAAGAAACUGAUUGUUGCAUCCAACAGGUGGACU
Long non-coding RNA from Manihot esculenta (cassava), 740 nucleotides. RefSeq lists it as uncharacterized. The transcript has 4 exons. Lineage: Eukaryota; Viridiplantae; Streptophyta; Magnoliopsida; Malpighiales; Euphorbiaceae. The record is from RefSeq and is a predicted model, not a curated record.